Molecule: long non-coding RNA, 958 nt
Organism: Hippopotamus amphibius kiboko
Lineage: Eukaryota; Metazoa; Chordata; Mammalia; Artiodactyla; Hippopotamidae
Exons: 3
Source: RefSeq, a predicted model, not a curated record
GGUCGCUGGAGGGGCGGCUCGCACGAGGGCAGGGGGCCGCGGACUGGCCUGCGGGGCCCCUCGGCCUGCUUACCCGCCAGCGCCGGGCGUGGGGCGGGGAGGGGCGUCCUCUGAGCCACCCCAGACAUCCGCCUCCUUGCUUCGGGUUUUCCUAAAACCCACCCCGGCCCGCCCUGCGGCCCUCUCCCCACCCCAGGUCUUCCCUUUCCCCUCCUCCUCCCCCUCCGCCGUCCAUCAGUCUAGAAAGACCCGCCGGCCCGAGGAUUCCAGCCGCCCCCUGCUCUCCAGGGAACCCGGGACCAGUUCCUUCCUGGCCUUCGGGGCCCAUCCACGCAGGCCAGAGCCGCUGACCCGUUUUACGAUUGGGGGCUGGGGUGGGGAGAGGGCGGAGAAAUCAAAGAGGAACUAAAGGCUGGGUCUUUAGAGGGCCUGAAAGGGAAGAUUCACUCCUGGAGGUUGAGGAAUCCGGAGUUCUCAACUCUCUGGGGCCUUCCAAGACCUCCCUCUGCCCAUCCCCUUCCCUCCUACCUCUGCCUCCACUACUGCUGGGGUUGUGUGGGGGAGGAGUUCACCACUGUUACAGAAGGCUAAAAGGCUGAGCCAAGGGUGGGGAAACGCAGACCAACUGGGAUCUGGAUGGCCCCUGGGCAGCACCGACUUCCUCUACCAUUCACACUGCAGGAAAAGAAGGGGACACGGGUUCGAGCGCUGGUCUGGGAAGAUCCCACAUGCCACGGAGCAACGAAGCCCAUGCACCACAACUGCUGAGCCUGCGCUCUAGAGCCUGCGAGCCACAGCUACUGAGCCCAUGCACUGCAACUACUGAGGCCUGAGCGCCAGGAGCCGGUGCUCCGCAACAAGAGAAGCCACCACAAUGAGAAGCCCACACACCACAACAAAGAGCAGCCCCCACUCUCUGCAACUACAGAAAGCCCGCACACGCAGCAACGAAGACCCA